GAAAGGGGUAAUGCUUUUAUAUUAGUUUUUCUAUAACAAGAAAAAUCAGUUUUGUUUUUUAUCAUUUUUUUUUUCUUAAAAAAGAAUUUAAAAACCCAAGGCACCCAGAACAUCCCACAGGCCCAAAGAAUAAAAAAGGUAUGUCAUCAGGGCUGCUGGGCCCUUCCUCCUUGCCUGGCACUGCCCUUCCGCCUGACUUCUGCCCAAGGCCCCAGCAACCUCAGGAGACUUUCCCUCUGGCCUCAAUGGGGUUUCCCAUCACAGACAUGCCUGUGGCCGGCGAGGGCCUGGCAGGGAGUGGCUGCCUGGGCACCUGGGAGUCAGGGCAGGCAGGCCAGGGUAGCAGUCCCAAAGGUUCCUGUCCCCAAAGGGAAGAAAAGGAACAAAAGUCAGCUUCUGUGAGUUCCAGAGGGUGGCAGGCACCUGGCCACAGAGAGCACCAAGAUAACUCUGUCUUCUCCAGUGGACGGACGAACAGACGGAUGAGCAGGUGGCAAGCUGUUCUGGCCAGUUCUGGCUGGGGCAAGAUAUGUCGGUGGCAUAGGCCAUAGAGGGCUGUUUUCAUGGGACGUGUGUGUGUGUGUGUGUGUGUGUGUGUGUGUGUGUGUGUGUGCGCGCGCGCAUGCGUGCACAUGCGGGUCCAAGGUGAAGGGAGCAGGCGCCCGUGAGUGCCAGGGCAGGGUCAGACCCUUCCCUGAGUCUGCAGGAGUCCAAGGGCAUGAUGGCAAUGGAGGGCGUGGGAUGGAGAGGGGAACUGUAUGGUGGGCUUGCUCCGUGCAGCCAGCAGUGUGUGACUGUGUCAUGUUGCCUGCACGUGUCUGGCCGUGGGGUACUACAGGAACAAGGGGGAAUGGGAGACUGUGUGUCCAGCCUGUGUUGUGGCAGUGGGGUGCAGGGUGGCUGGUGAGGGUGGCACUGGGUGUGUCUGUGAGCAUGGCAGAGUGGGGCUCACAGGGCACAGGUACGUGCUGCAGAAAGGGGUCUGGCGGUCCGGUGUCCUGUAGAACACGUGGGAGAGUCAGGGAGGCCAGGGCAGAAGUGCCAGCUUUGGGAAGGUGGAUUAGAGCUGGGGGGCCCCCAGGGGACUCUGGGAGGGCCAGGCGACUGCAGGCAGGAGGCAGAGUUGCCCCUGGGAGCCCAGAACCAGCCGGCCACCCACUGAGAGGUGUUCUUGCUGAUGUGACCAGGCCUGGUAUUGACUAGAGGGCUUUUAGGUCCCUCUGGCCACUCCCCAGGGCCUCUCCCAAGGCCCCACUCAACAAACCCGACCGAGGCCAAUGUCCUCCAGAGAGGACAGAUUCUCUCCCAUCCCAGGACUCCCCAUCCCCCUCAAUGAGGGAUAUAGCAUCCUCACUGGACAGCUGUUCACCCCCAUCAUUGACCCCUGGCUCUGCCUGAGGACAAUGCCUAGAGAGAAGGAUCUCCACUUCAUACUCCUGGGCUCCGAGAACAGAGGAAGGGGAUUCCCAAGAGCCUCUUCUCCAUGGUAGGAUAACCGCCCCACGCACACUCUUCUGUCAGCCACACCUCCCUCUGUCAUCCACCCAUGGGAUCCUCACCACCACCUUCAAGUCUCCACUCUGACCCAAGCCCCUGCUUUCAGUGUCCUAACAGUGGCCCAAGGGCCCCUUCACAUGGCCACAGCCUGACCCUGUGACCCCUAGCUCAGCUCAUUCUGAUAUUCCCUUCUGACCACAUCUCUCCUCCUGGCUACUCACCACACUGUGCCCACUCUCCAACGUCCCUCUCCAGAGACCCUGCCCACCCACACUCCUCCUGUCUGCACCUCCUUCCUUCCCAGCCUGACCCCCGGGGUCCACAACUGCAGCCAUUCUCUUGUCAACACCCUCAACGUCCUUGUUCCUUACCCUUCUGUCCCACACACCUGGCCAAAACCCCAGCCAUGGAUGGAUCCAAUGGUCCAUCUUCUCCACACCCACCCCGGUCUGCUGAGCACCUCCUGUUGCACAGAGAAAACAGAAGGCUGAAGGCAUCGGGCUGAUGUGACUUCAUGUUCAGCCACCAAGCCACUGUCCUGUGUGUGACUGCAGCCUUCAUCCCUCCUGACACAGUGGAAGGACUGAGCCUCCUGCCAAAGCCAGACCCUUCUACUGUGUCCACAGGGCUAGCUUCUCCCUGCUCUCCUCUCUUACAUCUUUAACUCCCCCUCCGGGCCAGCCCCUCCCAUCAACUCUGUUUCUGAAAAGGGUGCAAAGUAAACAGAGUCCCUCCUGAACUUCACACCUCUUCCCCGUGCCACCCUCUCAUCUCAUCCCUUUACGGCCAAACUUCUUGACAGAGUUGUCUAUGCUCCCUGGGUCCACUCCUUGCCAGCUACUUUCUCCACCUUCACUGCCCUUGAGGCUGCUCCCCCACAAGGUCAUGGGUAACCUUCUUGUGGAUAAAUCUGACAGGCCUUUGAUAGUGCUCACCUCCACCUGCCUCUCAGCAGCAUUGACACAGCUACUCUCUCCACCAGAGCCGUGGGGAUGCACGGGUGUAGACACAUGCAUGCGCGAGUGCAUGCAAGCAUGCACACGUCCUGCACCUGUGAAUGUGUUGUGGAGUACAUGUAUGUGUGUCUGUGUGCGCUCUGUGUCCUGAGUGUGUGUUAUCCAUGCACACGUAUGCAUGUUUGGACAUAUGUGAGCACGGGUACAUGUCGGUUGGUGCACUGUGUGCACAUGUAGGGUGCUUGUGUUGCAUAUGCACAUAAUCUGCCUCUGUCCCACCUCCUUCCAUAGCCGCUCUGUGUCAGCCCCUUCUGCAGGCUCCCUUGCAGCUGGCCACGGCCUGUCACUCUCCCCAAGCGAGCUCCCCAAGCUUCCUGUGGCCUCAUGACUAUUUCCAGGCUGAUAAUGUCUGGACCCCCAUCUCCAGCCCAGACCUCAACCUCCAGCCCCAGACCCACAUACCUGGCCCACCUCUGGGCAGCUCCCGAGCACACACUCCAGGCCUGCCUAACUCGACACUCCCACCACAACAAAUCUGCUCCCCUAGUACUAUCGUCCAUCUGGAAUUCAAGUUAGACCUGGGGGGCUGUCCUCUCCCUCACCCUGGCCCAGCAGGACUACUCUAGCCUCUGGAGUCUGCCUGUCGCUCCCCCAAAUCCCUUCAGGCCUUCUGCUUGUCUGCAACCUCACUGCCCACCCCCAUCGCCUCUGGCCCGGAUCGCCACAGUAGCCUCCUCCAGGCCCCCACAUCCAUGCCCUGCUUCCACCAUCCCAGUGCCUGUGCCAGUCCCAUCAGGGCGCUCAUCGCCCUGGAGAGUUCCCCAGCCUGUGCUGGCCUCCCACAGCUUUGCCAGCCUCUCACUCAGGGCCUAUACCGGGGUCAGGGACAGGAAGCUGGUGGGGAGAGGUCAGUGUACCCCCCCCCAGACCACCUACCUAUGUCAAAUCCGGUUCACCCCGUCACUAUCGCCUUUCCUCAUCCUCCUCAUCCUCAUCCUCCUCGUCUUCCUCAUCCUCUUCCUCCAACUGGCCCCGGUCCUUGGAAACGUCACCAAACUCAAAGUUGCCUUCUAUGUCCAAGACCUGAAGGUGCUUCAGCCUCCGGAAGGCACUUUCCACCACGGAGCCCACGGCCAGCUUGUUAAACCUGUGCAGGCCACCCAUUUGGGGUCAGUGUCAGAGGCCUAACCCUCAGAGUCCCCACACUUACCCAGCCUAGACGGUAAAGGGGAGGGAACGAGCUCUCCAGGAAGAUGGCACAGGAAGCAUAAAAGAUGUGCGGGGGCUGCUAAGAAGCACGGUGUGUCAUAAAAAGUCCCAGCUAUUCAGUGUGGCUACAGCUUGGCGGGGCAGGAGUGGACGCUGGGCCACUCAUCCAAAAGGGGAAGGUCCCUGUCUGCAAAUGCUCUAAAAUUUAGGAGUGGCGGAAACGGGUGCCUCCUCUCAGCCUGGGAUUACCUCCCUCUGGGAUCAACCCCAAGGCCUGAGGCUCUGGUGCUGCCAGCCUGGGGUUACUUUGAAGGCUGGUGUGGAGUGGCACACAGGCAAGGCCAGGGUUAAGCUGGGCCAGGGACACACCUGGGUUGAAGGGAGGCAGAGGCUGGGCUCUGAUAUCAGGCCCCCUCGAUUCUUUGUGCCUUGGUCCCCAUCCCCCCACACGAGCCCAGGCAUAGGUCACACUCCACCCCAACCCAGCCUGGGGCCUUCUGGGCCACAACUCCCCUGGGAGGGCACAUUCUGCCUCCUCAGAUCUGUCCCUUCUCCCUGAGUUGAAGGGAUGGUUAGGUAGGGUGCUGGGAAGAACCACCCUGACUCUACUGUACCAAAGCUCAUUUCCUGGGGGAGUUGGCUCCCCCGUUAGAAUCAUUCUAAACCCCCAGAGCUCAGCAAGGGCCUGAGCACCUGCUCUGCUGGGUCUGAGGCCCAGGGAACAGCCUGGCCAGCUAUGGGCACAGCCAUCAUGCGUGCUCCCUGGUUCCCUUCCUGCCACAGUAACAUCAAUAAUGUCCACAUGCACUGCUUUUAAAGUUCCUGAAGCCCUUUUACAAACUUAUAAACCUUGCCAGGCUUGGCCAGGACUGUCCCCUCCCUUGAGAGCUGAGGACACAGAGGCUCGGGGCGGGGGGGGGGGGGGGGGGUUCUGUGAUGUACCCAGGGUCACAGAGCCAGUCAGCAGUGAAGCCAGGCUUCAAACACUGACCUCUACCUGGGAGCUGUUCCCACAUGCCUCAACUAUCCCAUUAGAGCCAGGGUUGAACCCAGAGGGGCAUGUGCACUGCCCCAGGGGACCUCCUACCUGAGAAAGAUGCCUUUGAGGUUGGGCGUGGAGUCGAAGGCAUUGGCAGGCACAGUGCUAAUCUUGUUGUUCUGCAGGUACAGGUACUCGAGUGACUCAGGGAGCCCCUCAGGGAUCUCUGUGAGCUGAUUCCCAGCGAUGUCCAGCAGCUAUAUAGAUGACCAGGGGAGUCAAAACACUUAACAUCUUGCAAAGAUCCCACCAACCACCUGACCUAUCUAAAUCUUAUGAUAACCCUGUGAGGUGGGGCCUUUAACUGUCCCCAUUUUCCAGGAGGGGAAACAGAGGUUCACAUGGAUUAAGAGAUCUGUCCAAGGCCACACAGCCUGUAUGAAGCUGGAACCCAAAGCACCUGACUCCAAACCCUUGUUCUAACUGUUAUAUGUCCUACCCAGCUCCUUCUGUCUUCCCACAUGAAUUCACAGCCAAGAUAUCUGAGUGUCACAGUCCUUCCUCCUUAGUACACCUGUCACCCCUAUCAGACUGAAGAUCCCAGAAGGGCAGAGGCCCGGGGUCCUCCAGUGGUUGCAUAUUCCCACACUGGUCCCAGAUGAGGGUGAGGGUGGGGUCCACACAGGUGGGAUUGCUCAUUUGUGGCCUUCAGAGGCCAUGUGGGCAGGGGCCAAGAGAAAGGGUUCAAGGCCCACUGACCUAGGCUGGUCAGUCCUGGGAUCACCACAUGCCUGGAGUCCAGGAAGCAGGUGGGCAGGGAAAUGGGGUGGUUUUCCCAGGAAGCAGAGCAAACAUGCAGCAGGCAGGAGACCUGGACGUGCAUGGGCCCGGCUCACUGCCCUCAGGCUGUCUGCACAUACUCGCUCUGACACACACCUGUGUAGGCACAGGUGGGAUUCCAUCAUCUCUAAUCUCCCUUCCUCACCCUGACAGGAGGGGGCUCAAGGUCAGGAACUGGGGGCCAUGAAUCUAGAUUCAAGAUUCAAGGGGAAAAACCAGCUUCACACCUUAGGGAACCUCCCGGUCACCUCCUCUACCCAGCAGGGCUCCCUGCUCCCCACUGUGUCCCCUCCACACAGCUGUGGCACUUCCUCAUUCAUUCUGAACAUCCUCAUGCCCGCAGGUGCUGGGGAAAUGGAAUCCACUAGAAGCUGCCUCUGGCACUGGAGGUCAGGGUGGCGGAGGAGAUGCACACAGAAUCUGACAAUGACAGCUGGUGGAAUUGGCUGUGUUGAGGGAGCCCAGGGGAGUGGCCUCGACCCAGGCUUGGGUCAGGGGAGUAUAGCAGCCAGCACAGGCAGGGGCUCUGAAGCAGUGGGGGCAGCUGCUUAUAGAAAGAUCUGGCAGUGUAAGGAAGAAUCCCCCCCACCAGACACCUCAUCCCUGACUGAAUUCACAUACCUGCCCAUCACUGGGGGCUUCCUGAAGGAGAUGACACCUGAACUAAGUCCUAGGCAUAUUAUAGGCUCUAGGAUGGUAAUGACCCAUCCACCUUACUCCCUGUCAGGUUCUCAGUUCUAGAGUUGUGUCUUACGUGGUGGAGAACAGGGACAACUGUUGCAUGAAUGAGUGAGGUGUUCCCAGGGUGCUAUGCUUCCAGCAGCAAGGCCAGCAUGAGUAAAGUCCAGUGUGGCUGGGAAACCAAGGAGCUCAGCCAGGAGCAGAGGCAGGCCAGCCCUGAGAACUGUGGCAAGGAUUCUGGUCUGGGUCUAAGAGCAAUGGGGAGCCACAGAAGGGUUCUGAGCAGGAGUGUAAGGUGAGUGUAUGUGUUUCAAGAUACCUACCGACUGCAUACAGAAUAAGGGAGUGAAGAGCUCCUAUGGAGCCAGGGUGCAGGUGAGAAAGGGGGGUGGCUCGGGGUAUGGGAAGCAGGGGUGGAGAGAAGUGAGUUGAGAGAUGCGAUGGUAGAACUGGCAGAGUUUAGUAACAAUGGAUGUUGGAGGCACGUGGUGUGAAAAAGGGGGUGUCAAGGGCAGCUUCCAGGUUUCCUGUGGGCACCCCCUUCAGUGAGUUAGGAAAUGCAGCACAGCAGUACCUAGUGGCUCAGUGGGUUAAGUGUCUGACUUUGGCUCAGGUCAUGAUCUCAUGCUUCAUGAGUUCGAGCCCCACGUCGGGCUCUGUGCUGACAGUGCAGAGCCUGCUUGGGAUUCUCUCUCUCUCUCUCUCUCUCUCUCUCUCUCCCCCCCCCCCCCCCCCCCCCCCCCCCCCCCGAUCCUCUCCUGCUCGUAUUUUCUCUCUCUCCCAAAAUAAAUACACUUCAAGAGGAGCAAGUGUGGAGGGGAGGACGAUGGGAUUCGAGCUCCUUGAGAAUGGGCUCCUGAGGAAAACCAAGAGGGAUUGACACAGGUAACGGGAUCCUGGUGUCUGGCACCCAGCAGGGCUGUCUGGGUGAGGAGAGACCCCGGCUAACAGCUGCUCCUGUAAGGCCAGCUGCCUACCCCCAACUACCCCUGCCCUACCCUCGGGGCUGGGCCCCACCUCCCUGCCCCCCAUUCUGUGGGCUCUCCCCUAUGUUUCCCUCAGACAUCCUCAUCCUGACAGCUCCCCUGAAAAACGUGUACUGUGAGCCUACCACACUGAGGUCCUGUGAACAUGACAGACUAAAAUGCCUGCCGCGGGUUCCAGCAAAAGAGCAGGCAACAAACAAGCAGAUGGAUGACCUAAUGCCCAGGAGGGAUGAGGAUCAGGAAGAAAAACAAAGCAGAGGAGGGUGAUAGGUGGUGAAGGAAGACCUCCCAAGGAGGUGACAUCUGAGAGACAGGGAGGGGACAUGUUGGGAAGGGGGCCCCGUAAGGCAGCAGAGUGGGGGGCAGCUCCUGACCUCGCAGCACCUAGGCCCUGCCUCCCAGGUUUCUCAAGUUCCCUUUCAGCCCUCACUGAGUGGGAAGUUUCGCUCACAGCCGAUAUCCCACCUGACUCCAACUGUGGCCACGGCAGCCACACCCACUGAGCAGCCCAGCACGCCUCAAGCAGGCUCCCCCGGCCCUCUGCAGACCCGAUGAGGUCAGCCUGCCUCCCAGGCCUCACCCUCUCCCCUGCCCCAAGCCCAGCCUUUCCCAGCCACCUGUACCUGAGCCUUCAGAUGGGUGAGCCUGACUCUCCAGUGCCACCUGAACUGGCCCUGCCCGCCCCCUCCCCUGCCUGUCCUCCUGAACCGUGGGCCCCCUACCUGCAGCCAUGACUUCUUAUCCCCACAGCCCUCUGCAAGCCUGUACCUGCAGGUGCUGAGCUCAGCCUGGCCAUACCAGCCCAUCACUGCUGUAUCCUGGCAUGCCAGCCAGCCACUUCCUUCGUCCAGCCGCCCACCCCCACCCCCCUGACGGCCAGUCCCUCCUACCCACCCCUCACCUGGGCCCAGAAGAUGGGUGGGCUCGGGGCAGCCAUCCCAGUAGCACCUCACGCGGGCAUGACCCAGCCGCUCUCCCCUCCCCCUUACCUGGAGGUGGGCAAGGUCGGCCCAGGAGCGGGGGCCCAGGGCGCGGCUGCGCAGCCGGUUGCCGGUGAGGUAGAGCUCACGCAGCUGGGCCAUGCCGGCCAGCGCUCCGCGCGCCAGGGCUGCCAAUUCAUUGCGCUUGACCUUCAGCACAUGCACGUUGCGCGGCAGCCCAGGUGGCAAGGUGUGCAGCCGGUUACCGGACAGGUCCAGCGAGCGCAGCAGGCGCAGCUUGCGGAAGGCAUCUCGGUGCACCUGUGGGCUGGUGAUGCGGUUGUAGCUGAGGUUGAGCUCCUCCAGGAAGUAGGUGGUGGCGAAGUCGUCGCGGCCAAUGCCGGUGAUCUGGUUGUGCAGGAUCAUGAGAGUGCGCACGCGCCGGGGCAGGCCGCUGGGCACGCGCUCUAGAGCGUUGUUGUACAGGUGCACCGUGUGCAGCCGCUUAAGGCCCUGGAAGGCACGCGGGUGGAUGCCGCGCGCGUGCAGCUGGUUGCUGUGCAGCAGCAGGUACUCGAGGCUGCGGAUGGGCGUCAGCACGUCUGCGUCCACGCUCCGGAUGGCGUUCUUCUCCAGGUGCAGGAGCACGAGGCUGCGCGGCAGCCCUGCCGGGACCCGCGACAGGUUGUUGCUGGACAGAUCGAGGUACUCCAGGCUGGACAGCUUCCUGUGGCAGGGAGGAAUUGGGAUGGUUGGCCGAGGCCCACGGUGUUUGGUCCACCCCUACUCCCAAGGGAGAUGGUGGGGGACCUGCCUCUAACUCAUCGCAGCUCUGUGACUAGCUCACUAGGGGAGCUCAGUCCUCUUGGAGCCGGUCCUUGGGUUGAUUCAGUGACACGUUGGUGAAGGAAGAAUCUAGCAUGGUUUUUGACACAUAGAAGUCAAUUUGAAGACCAAUUGUUUAAGGCUUUUUGUGGCUACCCUGGGCCCUAAAAAAUGAAAACAUAUUUGCCUUCAGCAAGUAUACUCCAGUUUCAACUUUGUACCAAGAAGCCAGCCUCACUGGAAGUGGGGCAGGCCUUCUCUAGACAUAUCACUUGUUCUUGGGACAGGCGUGUCAGCAAAGGCACAAGCCCAAAGUUCCUUCUCCAGGAACCUGGUGGGGGACAGGUAGGUGACAGGCAUGUGUGAGAGGACCCGGCAGGGUGGGCCCAGGGAGCAGCUUCCCGGUUGCCGUGCUCACACGGAGGGCCCAGGUGGGGCUCACCAGAAGGUUUCAUUGUCCAGACCCUCGUCAGUCAGGUAAUUGUUCUGCAGGUACAGUUCACGCAGAUUGCUCAGCUCACUGAAGGCACCUGGUGGGAUCUUCUCCAGCUUGUUGUUCUGAGGGGUGGGAUGGUGGGGAGUAUGAGGGACAGCUGAGGGGCAGGGGCGGAGCCCUGGAUGAGAUGUGGAGGGGAGUCUAGGGGAACCAUGCGAGGAUGCACAGGCCUGGAGGAUGCUGCAUGUGAUAUUGACAGCCAGGUACCCAGGCUUCUGCCUGGUUCUCCACAGUGGACACUGUGCCCUCCGGCGUGUGCCCAAGGCCCCACAGCCUCACCACGGUGCCUGUGUGGGCCUGGGCUCUUCCCCCACUGCAGGACCCUGCUCUUUUGCCGCCCCCCCCCCAUGCUCUCCCUCCCACCUUGAGGUGCAGCUUAUAGAGGGCAGGUGGCAGGUGCUUGGGCACGUGGCGCAGGAAGUUGCUGGACAGAAUGAGGAUCUCGACGUUGCUGGAGCCGUUGAACAUGUUGUCCGGCAGCCCGGCAUCCGCCAGCUUGUUGUUGUGCAGGUACACGGACCUGGGGGAUGAGGCACAGGUCCUCACCCACCCAUGCCCACCCCUCUUCCAACCAGCUCAUCUGAUGAGCCUUCAGACCUUGCUCAGGUUGGGCCUAGGCCCAGGGCACCCUCCUCCCAUUUGAAGGACCUCAGACCCCACCUAAUCCAGUGCCUCCUAAACAACCAGGGAGACCAAGGACCUACCAGAGGCUGCCCCCUCACGUCAGUGGCAGAAACAGGAUUUCCUGACCCCUAGUCUGUGCUCCUCCACACCCUUCAAGGUUCUCAGUCAUUGCCUGACUGUUGCAGCCCUGGAAUCCUGCGUGCCAACCCCAAGCAGCUGGCUCUGAGUUCUGCAGGACUUCCCACGAUGGGGGCUAUCCCCACUACCUCUUUGUCUCAAGUGUCCACUACAGGGCCUGGCUCAGAGGAGGUGAACUCUCAUUCAUUCAGCAAAUAUAUAGUGAUUGUCCCUAUGUGCCGGGACUGUUCUAGACUCUGAAGAUAUAAGCAGUGGACACAACCAACAAGACCCUGCCUUCAUGGAAUUAACAUACUAGAAGGAGCAAAGAUAAAAAAUAAGAGAAGAUAUUCUAAACAUAAAAGAACUCAUUCUUGCUGUGUGGCCUCUCUUGGGCCUCAGCCUUCUCAUCUGUAGGAUGGGACCAUGCACAGUGACCCCAUGGAGAGAAUCAAGUGAGAUGACAGAUUCAGGGACGGAAGCAGAAGCAGCACCAGGGAUUGUCAGUACCUGCCCCCCCCCCCCAACCACCCUGCCCUGCUCACACACCUGUGCUACUCUUCCCAAAGCAGCUCUUGGGGAGGGGCAGCUCUGUCUGCUGGAAGAUGCUUCCUUCCCACAGGGGCUGGGGAAGGAGGGAAAGACCCUCCACCCAGCUCCCCACAGUUCCACAGACAUCACUCUCUGUCCUUGCCUCUUGGACUGAUUGCUUUCACUCCUCAGAUCCUGUGCCCCUGCAGCCCGUGGGCAUCCCUCACCACAGCCCUGAGCAAGGGCAUCAUGCCUGCACUGCCCAGCAUGCCCCUCCUCCAGGGCCUGUCCUCUGCCUGGCUUGGGGCUGGGAGUGUCUCAGCUUCUCCCCCUUCCCCAGCCUGAGCCCAGGGCCCCCGUCUGACCUCUGACCUCUGACCUCAAGUUUGGCUUCUGGCCAAAAGUGAGCCCGUAAAUCUUGGUGAGAUAGUUGGCAGCGAAGUCCACGCUGAUCAGGGUGUUUGGCAGGAACCGGGGUGCCAACGUCAGCUGGAAAGGGAAGAGUUGGGGCAGAAAGACCAAUGGCGGGCAGAGGCCAGCUCUGGGUCUCACUGCCUGCUGCUCAUCUGGGCUCCUCUUUGCAACCAGAGCCAUCUUUCUAAACUGGAAGCCCGUCCCACUCCCCUGAGUGUGCAAAAACAGAACUCCGUGGCCCCCCACAGCCCUAAACAUUUAAAGCCCCCUAGGCCUGUCCCCUGCCCUGCCUGUCCUCUUGGCCUCUCCCCUCAUCGCUCCCUGACACAGACCCUCUGUCCAGCUACAGUGAGCACCCACUUCUCCAGACACGCCCUCCCCCUGCCCAGUGUCUAGCCUUCAUUCAUUCAACAGUAGUCCCUGAGUCUGCAACACUGCAGGCAUGUGUCCAGGAGCUGGAUGUGUCCUGAGGAACAAGACAGAGAAGUGCCUCCACCCCCACCCCCAAAGCUUACAUCUCAAUGGAGAAGACAAUAAACAAGGCACAAAAGUAUCCAAUAGUGAUAGCGAGUUAAAACAGGCUGAAGACGGAAUAACUGGGUUGGGUGCUCGGGGAACAGGUGACACUUAAGGCAUGAAGGCACCGUUAAUGCCAUCUGAGGGGAGAGCACCCACGGCAGCAGGGGCAGCGAGUGUAGGCCCCACUUGGGGGUUGCCAGGUUUGGGGGCUGGAGGAGAGGGAGCGAGUGGGAAUAGGAGUUGAGUGAGGCAGGCGGGCCCACACACAGGCCAUCUGCCAUGGGGAGAAGUGUGGCUUUCAUUCUGCCUGGAAAGUAAAGCCUCAGGAGCUUUGAGAUGGGGAGGGCAGGUUGGAGGGGUGGAAGCAGGUGUGAUUUUUAAAGGUCACUCUGGCUUCUCUGUGGAGAAGGAGGAGCAAACAGGGAAGCAGGGCCGUCGUGGUGCAGGCUGGUGGACCGGGGCCGGAGGGGAGCCGAGGGCGUGCAGUGGGAUUAGGCGUGGGUGAGCAAAGCGCCCUGGAUUUGUGGCUCAGCCGAGCGGUGCUGUAGGUGGUUGGAGAUGACCUUUAUGGGGGGCAGGGGAGAAGGCCGCAGGAAAAUUGGGCUUUCGGGGUUGUGGGAGGCAAGCAGAGUUCUAGGUCCAUUAGACAUCUAGGGGAGAUGUCGAGGAGGCGGGUGGAUCUUUGAGUCUCCUGUGGGAGGAGUGGAAAAGGCUGGGGGCUGCCACUGGACAUGGCCAUGAUGUAGAUGGGUGCUAAAGCCUGGGGAGGGGAUGGGUCACCUCGAGAGACCUCAGAGAGAAGAGGCCAGGACAGAGCCCUGGGACACACCAAAUAUUUUGAAGUUGAGUGCCUUCGUGCCUUUUCUCAUGCUCUCUCUUUGGCAGUGCCUCCCCCUUAGGGCCCCUGGCUGAAAUCCCGCUACCCUUCAUGGCCCUGCUCAAAUGCCAUCUCCUCCAGGAAGCCCUCCAAGUGGCUAUCACCUUCCUGCACUUCUGUAAGGCCUUGGCCUCCGUUUUCAUUAUCUGACCACUCUGAUGCCCUGCAGUGAGGUGUGAGGUCUCACCGGGACCAUGUCUGAGCAGCAAUGGGGACCCAGCGACCUGAGCUCAGCCUCCAACACCAGGGGGCCCUUUACCUUGUUAUUGGCCAAGUACAGGUAGUUGAGGUUGGUCAGAUGCUCAAACGCCUCCUCCGGGAGCCCUUCAAAGGACAGGCAUCGGUCAGAGCCCUGGAUGAAGGAGAUGCUACAAGGGAGCACACCACCACCGACCCCCCAGUGCCCACCCCACUUGCCAGGACCGGGAGGGCCCUCCCUGAGGCACGUUGGGUUGUGAUCCCUUCCCAACCAGUCCCAGCAGCCCUGUUUUCUUUCCCCUUGCUCCCGGGAGCCCCGGCUCAGAGGAGCAGGUAGACAGUGUCUACUCACAAAUGACCAAUUCUUCACCUGCUCGGGGGCACCCACGUGGGAAUGGGUCCUCAUAAGGUCAGGCCAUGGGGCAGAGGACCCAUCCCCACCCUUCCCCAUCAGGAAGGAGUGCUUUCCUCAGGUGCAGCCCUAGAGGAUCAGAGACCCUCCUCAUACCUCUGCAGGGCAGAGCUGUGGCCCCUGUGCCCCCCCACCCCUGCCACCAUCUGGCCCAUCCCUGUCCCAGCUGGCAGCUGUAGUGUCAGGACUCGGCUGUUGCUGGGAGCCCAGCCAAACUGGCCCUUCUCCAGUCCUGAGGCCAGCCUCUGACACUCAGUUCCGGGCUCCCAGACCCUCAGAUGCUGGGACGCACCCAAGCAUCUAAGGAGAGGGAACAGUUACAUAAACCGUGCAGGGUCCCUCUGUAGAAUACCUGGCUGCCGCUGUGUGAAAUGAUGGCCACUGAGAGUUUUUUGCAACAUGAAAAAUGCUGCUUUGCUAACUGCUAAGUGUAGCAGAGCAAUUAUGACAGUUAUAAUAGCUAAACUGUAAGCUCAGCUAUAAAUGAAAAAACACAAAGAAAAGAGACUAGAUUGAAUUGUGGUGAUGGUUGUACAACUAUGUAAACUUACCAAAACUCAUCAAAUUGUACUUUUAUGUUGGGUGAAUCUUACAGCAUAUAAGUAAAGUAGAAAGAAACAUACCCAAACGUUAGUAGUGAUUAACUCCACGUGGCAGAAUUAUAAGUGGGUUUUUUCUUUUCCAUUUUGUUUUCUACAUUUCCAAAUUUUCUGUUAUAAAUUAUUUUCAUCAUCAGAAAAAAAUAACUUUUUACAAUGUGAGUGUUCUACGCAUCUUUGAUUCUGAAGGCCUUCUGUGAAUAUGAGUCUAUGAGAGGGGUGCAUAGGUGGCUCAAUCACUUAAGUGUCUGACUUCUGCUCAGGUCAUGAUCUCGCGGUUUAUGAGUUUGAGCCCCGUGUCAGGCUCUGUGCUGACAGCUCGGAGCCCGGAGCCUGCUUCAGGCUCUCCCCCUCUUUCUGCCCCUCCUCCGCGCGUCCUCUCUCUCUCUCUCUCAAAAAUAAAUAAAUGUUAAAAAAAAUAAUAAUAAAAAUAAAGAGUCUAUGAGAAAGGUCCUGGGAAUCUCAGCCUUUCCCCUGACCCAACUCCCAGGUCUCAGAAACCCACAGGGGUGACUCUUAGGCAACCACAGGGAGCCCCUGGCCGUGAGGCCCUGCUGCCAGCCCAGCCCUGCUGUUUUUCGUAUCCCAGGAUCUGCAGGGUGGAGCUCUUCCCAUGGGCACCAGUCCCCACCCCCUCGUGUCCCUCUCCUGGGCUCUGGGUGAUCCCUCACCUCGGGAAGUCAGACGGUUGUUCUGGAGGUUCAGAGUUUCCAGUCGAUGCAAUCUGGAGAGCUCCUGGGGGUAGAUCUUCUCCAACUGGUUGUUCUGGGGAGUAAGGGCCAGGGGUGGUGAGGAGGCAGGCUCACUAGAGGCCUGCCCCCACCCUCAGUCCCAGUCCCAGGAGCCAGUCCCUCUGCUGGGCACCUCCCUUGGGAUUCACCCUCAUGCAGACAGGCCCUGGGUCUGGGCCAGGCCCGGGCCUCAGCGCUGGAGGCACAGCAGUGACCACAAAAGGCAUGCAGGUCCCACCUUCUAGGAGCCCAGAUGGGAGCAUCUCCAGGUGGUUCAAACUUGGAGUGCCGCCUCCCCUCUAGACCCGCUCCCUUCAUGUUCCCACUGGAUGACAGGCAUCCGCAGCCCAUUCUCCCCACCCCAAGCCAGAAACUACUUUUGGCUCCCUUUCUCGGGUUGGGGGGGGGAACCUGGGUCCUCACUCCCUUUGGAAUGCUUUAAAACCUUCCUCCAAAAGUCUUCCUGAAUUGGAUUGAGGCCAGACUAGGAACUGCUAUGGGCCCCACAGCACUAGUCCUUCUGUCUCCAUCUGUUGUCUUUACCUGUUUAGAUCUCUGCCUCCCCCAUAGGCUGUUCAAACCCUCCCUACACGCCCAGCAUCUGACACAGCACCAGACGUAUCAAGCAUGCACCCGGGAGACUUUUAUGAAUAAAUGAGUGAAUGAACCAACAGUAAGUGUUGUCCUUAACUUGUCCCUUUCCCUCAUGGGCUACCCUGGCCGCGGGCUCCCUCCACCAUCACCCUAGACCUAUCAGUUUGAGUGACCAUUGGGCAGAUCACUUUCCUUCACUAGGCUUGAUCUCUGGAAAUGGGUACGAGAGCCCCUCUCUCUCCUCCAGAGCUGCUGGGCCACACAAAGUUGGGUGCACCAGAACUCCCAGAGUCCCCCAUCUGGAACACUGUGUCCCACUUCUCAAAAUCUAGCCUGCACCUCAGCUGGGGAGAAUACUCUAUCCUCUGAGCCCCCCAGAGCAUCAAUCAGGGUUGACUUUCUCUUGUUCUCCUGGCCUGUAAUGGUGUCUGGGCACCCCGUCCAUUCAGAGGGUCACCUGCCAGGCAGAUCUGUGUCCUUUUUUCCCUCAGCCCAGACUCCUCCAAGUAAAACAAAGCAGUUAUAAUAUCACGUUACUCUGUGACUGGGACAUCAGAGCGGGGAAUGCCCUAGCACCUUGCGUCUGGGGUUGGGGAGCCACAGGAACUGGGGGUUCUGGGCCAGGAGCCGCGAGUGUAGAGGGCAGCCCCUGGUGACCGCUGUUGCAAUGGCGGCUUCACCUGCAGAGACAGAUGGUUGGUGUGCUCAGGCAGGUCCCCCGGGAACUCACGCAGGUCAAUGCCACCACAGUCCACAACACCUUCUUGGGAGCAGGCACAGUCUCGGGGGCAGUUGAUGGUGGCAGGGCCAGGCCCUGGCUCCUCAGGGCUCAGGACCAACACUGGCUCCUCCAUGAAUUCGUUCUCUUCAGGGCUCAGGCUGUGGGCACCACCUCGGCCAAACCCUG
This 15912-nucleotide long non-coding RNA is filed under the name Lynx pardinus (Iberian lynx). The record is from RNAcentral. Lineage: Eukaryota; Metazoa; Chordata; Mammalia; Carnivora; Felidae.